This 430-nucleotide long non-coding RNA is filed under the name Homo sapiens (human). Its description in RNAcentral is "non-protein coding TTC28-AS1:45". The stretch from base 51 to 207 matches the Rfam family "TTC28 antisense RNA 1 conserved region 2". Lineage: Eukaryota; Metazoa; Chordata; Mammalia; Primates; Hominidae. The record is from RNAcentral.
CUUCAGCUUUGGUCCCUCGGGGCGUCUGGGCAGCCUACGCUUUCCGGAUAAAAAUGGCAGAAUGAAAGAAUUAUGAGUGGAACUAGAGAAUAGGAAAGACAUGAACCAACGCCCAAAAUGAGAAAGAAGGACAUAUAAAGAAAAAGACAAAUACAAGUGAAAAAAAUAGACUAAUGGAUUAACGUCCCUGUCGUGUGACAUUUUCUGACUGGAAUCAGCCAUUUUACCAAGAAAGUUGGGUUUCUUUUACUGGCAAAUAGUACUUCAAGAGCACAGUCUUAUGUAAGGAGUUUUAUAUAUAUUCCAGAUACAAGUCUUCUGUCAGGUAAAGGUAUCACAAAAAUGUAGCACACAUUUUGUCUUCUAAGCUGUGGUUUCCUUUUCAUUUUCUUAAUGAUAUCUUUUGAAGAGAAGGCAGUUUUAAUUUUGA